UACGGGGGGGGCAAGCGUUGUUCGGAAUUACUGGGCGUAAAGGGCUUGUAGGUGGCCAACUAAGUCAGACGUGAAAUCCCUCGGCUUAACCGGGGAACUGCGUCUGAUACUGGAUGGCUUGAGAUUGGGAGAGGGAUGCGGAAUUCCAGGUGUAGCGGUGAAAUGCGUAGAUAUCAGGAGGAACACCGGUGGCGAAGGCGGGUCUCUGGGCCGAUACUGACGCUGAGGAGCGAAAGCGUGGGGAGCGAACAGG
RNAcentral lists this ribosomal RNA (253 nucleotides) under uncultured bacterium. RNAcentral describes it as "partial 16S ribosomal RNA". It matches the Rfam family "Bacterial small subunit ribosomal RNA", at positions 524 to 776 of the family's 1533-position model. The record is from RNAcentral.